CUGCCGUCUACUGCAAAAGGAAAGCAUGCAGCUCUUACAACCAUCCACCUGCUGCCUUGAUGCUUUGCCACUAGCUGUUAAAAAAAUCAGUUGUUCAGCGGCCUAGCGAGGACAAUCUACCGAUAGUUAAUGGUUCACUGCUCACUGGCAUCUUCCCAGACUUAUUGAAAACUGCAGUGAUUAAGUGCCUCUUUAAAAAAAAGAACAAUUAGACCAAUUUCAGACCAACAAAAAAAAAAAAAAACCCAUUUCAAGCCUUUCAUAGAAAUACUCAAACGAGCCAGUCUGGCACAGGCAAAAUCACUGACAUUUUUCCCCCAUUCUGAUUUUUGAACCCUAACUGUAGCUCUUGACCUGUAUCAGCAUAUAUAGAAUGUAUAUAAACCUAAAAUGUGAUUCAUCAGACCAAUCCACCUUCUUCCAUUGCUCCAUGGGGGAGUUCUGAUGCUCAUGACCGUUGUAGGUGCUUUUAGUAGUGCACAGGAGUCAGCAUGGGCACUCUGACUGGUCUGCAGCUACGCAGCGCCAUACACAGCAUACUUUCAUGCAAUAUGUGUUGAUGUACUAACACCUUUCUAUCAUAGCCAGCAUGAACUUUUUCAGCAAUUUGUGCUGCAGUAGCUCUUCUGUGGGAUCCGACCAGACAGGCUAGCCUUCGCUCCCCAUGCGCAUCAAUGAGCUGGUUCAUUGGUUGUCCUUCCUUGGACCACUUUUGCACAUCAACUUCGAGAACUGACAUAUAUAUCCCGACAGGUGCCACUGUAACAAGAUAAUCAAUGUUAUUCACUUCACCUGUCAGUGGUUUUACUGUAUAUAUAAAUGCAAAAUGUUCCUGCUUAAAGUGACAAUAAAUGUUUUUAUUAAUUGUGUAGCUCGUUGGCAUCUUCAGAGACAAAGAAAAACUUCUUUAAUAAAUGUUUGCUUGCAGUUUCUUAUUAAAAUGCUGUUUUGUCUGACCGUAGAUAUAAAAGUGGUUCAUUUGAAACUGACUUAUUAAACCUGGA
Long non-coding RNA from Ictalurus punctatus (channel catfish), 1004 nucleotides. Lineage: Eukaryota; Metazoa; Chordata; Actinopteri; Siluriformes; Ictaluridae. The record is from Ensembl.